UAAACCGAUAAGGAAAAUUUUCGAAAUCGAAAUCGAAUCGAUAAACCGAUAACAAAAUAAUCAAUUCGAUUUAUCGAUAAACCGAUUCGAAUGCACACCCCUAGUGCCGAGUCAAGCUACCUUAUUUAAAUUGAAAUGGAGGGAGCAGUUUAUUUAAUCUAACUUUAUGAUCACUUCAUCUCUUAAUUUUUUUAUCACGUGAACUUUAAACAAUUGGACGGAAAUGAAAAGUCAUGAUUUUCAAACUCAAUCAGCUACAUUUUAAUCUCAAAUUAAUUGGAGUAAGACCUAUACAACUUAUGUAUCCAAAUAUUCAAAGGAUUCAUCAUAUUUAGACAACAAAACUAAAAAGAAUAUAUAGCAAAUU
This 367-nucleotide long non-coding RNA is filed under the name Nicotiana benthamiana. RNAcentral describes it as "long non-coding RNA (NBEN_LNC002029)". Lineage: Eukaryota; Viridiplantae; Streptophyta; Magnoliopsida; Solanales; Solanaceae. The record is from RNAcentral.